This 1056-nucleotide unclassified non-coding RNA is filed under the name Hevea brasiliensis (rubber tree). The record is from RNAcentral. Lineage: Eukaryota; Viridiplantae; Streptophyta; Magnoliopsida; Malpighiales; Euphorbiaceae.
CGUUGCUCCGGCCCCGUAGAUUUCUCUGGUUCUCUGCUUCUCUCUUCGCCUAUCUUUCUGACUCUUUGUUCUUAGUUUCUUUGUGACAUAAAGUUUCUUUGCUUUCUUAAUCUUUUCAUUUUUCUUGACCUUCUUCUUCUUCUUCUUCUUUGUGGGAAUAGUGAUGGGUUUUGAGAAAAAGAUUCCUUUUUGCUCUGUAUUAAAUUCAGUUUUAAUUUGUAUUAUUGUUAACCAUAAAAUAUUUAUUUACCAGAAACUUUGAAUUACUGUCUUAUUUUGCUAUAAAGCUGCUUCAAAUUCCAGUUCUGUUGGCGUGUUGGUGAUUGGACUUGGGGUUAAUGCACUUCUUAUAUUUAUAUCUAAUUCUGUUGUUUUUUCUCUCUCAUUUUUUAAAAUUUUCAUAUGAUUCAAGAUCUUAAUACGUUUUUCCAUUUUAAUUUUUCAUAUUGGAUUCGUCUCUGUUUUUGAGUAUAAUUUGAAGUUUUGAUCUGUUAUUAUAGUGGUAAAAUGUCAAUUAGGCAGGAUUAUCUUUGCCUCUAAUUGGGCUAGUGUAUUGUUAAGCGAGCACAUCGGCUUCUUAAUAUUGUAGAUCAUUUGGGUAUGCGGCUUCUUUUGUACAUGAUCUGUAUUCAGGUUCUUAUGUUCACUCUGAAUGCUAUCUUUGUGAUGGCUUCUGUCCUAAGGGAAUGGAGUUGACUGUUUGUAAUUUUUGAGAAGUGUGAUGAAAAAUUUAGCUUUUUGUGUGAGAAAUUACGCUUGUAAUGUUCAAUAUGAAGCCUGAUGGGAACAGUUCAUUUAAAAUUCCGAUUGUUUUAAUUUUCUUGUCUGCGAAACAAGCUCAAAAAUUAUCGAAAAGAUUGAUCUGGAGACGUAAACGUUAUCAGAUCCCAAAAAAUGGAGACAAAUUUCUGUUCAUAAAGAUUGACGUGGGAAAUGGCCGAAAAUUUUCAUGUCUGUUAAAAUUGUGUUGCAGUUAUCUGGAACUUAUGCUUUGAUAUGCAUGUCAGGAAGAGCAUUUGAAAGUUUGCAGAGCUGUGAAGGAACUUCAAUCUAUAU